UGGGCGUGUGUUCGAUCAGAAGAAGAGAAAGAAAAGGGGUCAAACCCUAGAACACCAAAAUCUAUCAAAUUGAAAGGGGAAUUGAAGCCUAGUUGAAUGCAUGAACUAAGAAUGAUGAUCAUCUAAGCAUACCCAACAUCAAGAUAGGAAACCCCAAAUUGGCAUGGACUCAAGUAUGGAAGGCUAACGGAUCAAGAGGAAAUGAGGAAGCUAUGCACAAACUUGGAUGCACGAGGAAUGAGAAUGUCGGAUUCUUAUGAAGUCGAAGCCGAACUCGGAACAAGAGACUUAGAGAGAAUAGUCGAAUGAAUCGAAGCUAUAUUGUCGAACAUUAUACGAAAGUUAAUUGUGUGAGAAUAUUGUUGUAUGAGGUUGUUAAUGACUAAUGAUUAAGUUGUAUGUGAUAUUCACAGGUACCAUACGGAUUUCUUCUUCUACUAACAAAGAUGAGCGGACGAGGAUCGAGUCAAGAGCAAGGAUUGUACGGGAAGGAUCGGUCACAUAGUUUAACAAAUGUAGGUCCAAAGUAUUAAUAUAAUGGAACGUAGUAAAUACUUUUUAAUGAGUGUAUGACAUUGGUAUUCGAACUUUCCUGUAAGUACUAUGUCUAUUAAAGAACGAAAUUUUGGGUUCAUAUU
Long non-coding RNA from Helianthus annuus (common sunflower), 638 nucleotides. RefSeq lists it as uncharacterized. The record is from RefSeq and is a predicted model, not a curated record. Lineage: Eukaryota; Viridiplantae; Streptophyta; Magnoliopsida; Asterales; Asteraceae. The transcript is spliced from 3 exons.